RNAcentral lists this ribosomal RNA (406 nucleotides) under uncultured bacterium. Its description in RNAcentral is "partial 16S ribosomal RNA". It matches the Rfam family "Bacterial small subunit ribosomal RNA", at positions 30 to 526 of the family's 1533-position model. The record is from RNAcentral.
AUUGAACGCUAGCGGCAUGCCUAACACAUGCAAGUCGAACGAGCGGCGGACGGGUGAGUAAUAUCUGGGAAACUGCCUAAUGGAGGGGGAUAACUACUGGAAACGGUAGCUAAUACCGCAUACCAUCAGAUGUGCCCAUAUGGGAUUAGCUAGUAGGUGGGGUAAUAGCUCACCUAGGCGACGAUCCCUAGCUGGUCUGAGAGGAUGACCAGCCACACUGGAACUGAGACACGGUCCAGACUCCUACGGGAGGCAGCAGUGGGGAAUAUUGGACAAUGGGCGAAAGCCUGAUGCAGCCAUGCCGCGUGUGUGAAGAAGGCCUUCGGGUUGUAAAGCACUUUCAGCGAGGAGGCGGUACCCGCAGAAGAAGCACCGGCUAACUACGUGCCAGCAGCCGCGGUAAUAC